CAGAUAGAGGCGCGGCCGUCAUCAGUAGUUCCGUCCAGCCGACCAUACGGCGCCGAGGACGGGAACGAAAGGGAUCGCCGCCGAAAUAUCCCCCGCUAUGGUAAAGGGGAUGUUGGGCACAGACAGAAGAUGUCUGUGACUGUCACAGAAAUGUGGAGAGCUAUCGUU
Molecule: non-coding RNA, 168 nt
Filed under: bovine gut metagenome
Description: Lysine riboswitch
Rfam family: Lysine riboswitch aptamer
About the family: Riboswitches are metabolite binding domains within certain messenger RNAs that serve as precision sensors for their corresponding targets. Allosteric rearrangement of mRNA structure is mediated by ligand binding, and this results in modulation of gene expression.
Source: RNAcentral